This 456-nucleotide long non-coding RNA is filed under the name Xyrichtys novacula (pearly razorfish). Lineage: Eukaryota; Metazoa; Chordata; Actinopteri; Labriformes; Labridae. The record is from RNAcentral.
ACAACAGCAGACUGACUGUUUUCAGUUCUGAUUAGACACUAGUGUUGAGAUGUCUGUCUGUCAUGAUAGCACGUACUGAGUCGGGGCCAGUACCAGAUAAGAACAUUAAACUAUAAUCCAUAAAUGUAAGGUAACAACUGAGACCUAAUGGUGCUGUGACAGCAACGCGAUUGAGUUUGAGACAGUGAAAAUACAUAUGGUAUGUUGUAUCUGAACAGGUUAGCUUACGAGCUAAAGUUACUUAGCACAGAUGAAAGUUCAAACAAAGACGUUUAGCAAACUGUUAAAGCACACAAACCAUCGUCAUAUGAGAAAUCUGACGCUAUGACUCUCCACAAGUUGUCCUUCAGGUCGUUAUCUUUGUAAUAUUUGUGUUUUUUAUCAAAAAGCACUCUGUUCUCCGACACUUAAACAAUCAGCCGGUCGGCCAUGUUGGAUAUACCAGUGAAUCUGACG